Molecule: ribosomal RNA, 468 nt
Filed under: uncultured bacterium
Lineage: Bacteria
Description: partial 16S ribosomal RNA
Rfam family: Bacterial small subunit ribosomal RNA
Source: RNAcentral
GACGAAUGCUGGCGGCGUGCUUAACACAUGCAAGUCGAACGGAAAGGCCCUGCUUUUGUGGGGUGCUCGAGUGGCGAACGGGUGAGUAACACGUGAGUAACCUGCCCUUGACUUUGGGAUAACUUCAGGAAACUGGGGCUAAUACCGGAUAGGAGCUCCUGCUGCAUGGUGGGGGUUGGAAAGUUUCGGCGGUUGGGGAUGGACUCGCGGCUUAUCAGCUUGUUGGUGGGGUAGUGGCUUACCAAGGCUUUGACGGGUAGCCGGCCUGAGAGGGUGACCGGCCACAUUGGGACUGAGAUACGGCCCAGACUCCUACGGGAGGCAGCAGUGGGGAAUAUUGCACAAUGGGCGGAAGCCUGAUGCAGCAACGCCGCGUGCGGGAUGACGGCCUUCGGGGUGUAAACCGCUUUCGCCUGUGACGAAGCGUGAGUGACGGUAAUGGGUAAAGAAGCACCGGCUAACUACGUG